GAAACUGCAGCAGCUCGCGGUGGGAGCACUCUCAGCAAUCAGGUGUUUUUCGUCUUUUAAUUUCCGAAAUGGAUGACAUCCCUCAGGCAUGUAUUCUGGAAAUGGAAUUCCUGUAACUUCCCGCUUUUGCAGUUUACCCUACAAUUAGUAGGCAGCGUGUAAAAACAGGCACAGUAAGCAGGUUAUAAAAGCAAAACAAAAGCACAGUGUUAAUGCUUGCAAGUUUCCAUUUGUUUUAAUACCACACAAUCUUUCACACUCGAGCGUGUGCACGCGCACACAGGGCUUACCCAACCUGCUCUGCUUGAGUCAUGCAGUUCAAAAAAAGGCAAAAAAAGGUAAAGACAUCAUUGGCAGAAGCUUCUGUGAGUUUAGUUCCACUAAGAUGUUUCACCUGCCUUAUCAAGACCAUUCUCAGUCUACUUUUUUAAGCUACCGUAUCUUAAAUUAUUGAAAAUUUAUUAAUUGCUGAUAUAUAAUAACCUUUGCUUGUAUGUAACCGAAAAUGGUUUAAGAGCCAACAUUUAGAGUAUGACAAUGGAGCUGAACAGUUUUUAAUGCGCAAGCAGUUCUGU
RNAcentral lists this long non-coding RNA (575 nucleotides) under Bos taurus (domestic cattle). RNAcentral's name for it is "long non-coding RNA NONBTAT013723". Lineage: Eukaryota; Metazoa; Chordata; Mammalia; Artiodactyla; Bovidae. The record is from RNAcentral.